UUCUCGCGAUAGUGAGCGAGUUCUCAUGAGAUCUGAUGGUUUUAUAAGCCUCCGGCCUUUCUCCCGCUGGCACUUACCCUCCUUCCUGCAACGAUGUGAAGAAGGACAAGUUUGCUUCCCCUUCUGCCAUGAUUGUAAGAAGACUGGUGGUGCUGCUGGAAUAAAAGGAGUGAUGGAAGACAGGUGAGGGUGUGAGGAGAAAAGAUUUGGUGAAUCACAGUUAUGUUUCCUGGCAUUAAAUCACCCUUGAAUAUUUCUAUAAUAAAUACAACAAGGAAGUUCUGGCAGAUGAAUGGAAGCUAAGCUCUCCUGGAUGGAGAGUGUUAGAAGAGACACUGGAAACUCAGUCCCAAGAUGCUCAGAGGGAAGGAAAGGAGAGAGCAACAACCUCUGGAAGAAAUGGAAGUGGUUAUCACUAAUGCAAACAUAUUACAUUGAAUGAAAGAAUCUUCUUUCACAGCUUUGCAGCAAACACACAGAAGACAUGAAGAAAAUAAGUCCACAGCCCAAAUUAUCACAACGAGUUUGGAACUUAGGAUAUCCUUCAUUUUGGCUAAUCAGAUCCCUUCCUAGUUAUGAUGGGGCAAACUUCGUAAUAACACACAGCCUGGACUCCACCAAUGGGAAUAAUUACCAUCUGUAGAAGUAUUAUGAAACUGCCUUAUAAAAGUUUUUUUAUUAAAUAUAUAAAAUUAAACUCAU
This 702-nucleotide long non-coding RNA is filed under the name Homo sapiens (human). RNAcentral's name for it is "HSALNT0218497". The record is from RNAcentral. Lineage: Eukaryota; Metazoa; Chordata; Mammalia; Primates; Hominidae.